CACAGACACUCGGGCGCCGCUUCUGCGCAUGCUCCGCCCUGACUCCCGCCGGCCCCUGCGGCGCAUGCGCCUCCCGCCCCGCCCCCCUGCAGCGGCCAUCUUGUGAGAGCAUCGCAACCCGGAAGUGCUGUGAGGGCUGGGUUGCAGUGCCGCGAGAUCUCGCCUUUCCACCGGCCGCAGCCGCCGCUUGGGAGCUGGGGCCUCCCGCUACUCCGGGCGGGGGAGGGGACCAGCAUGGGCACCCGGGCAGCGCGCACCCCGCGGGGGCAGACCCCGGCUCUUCUCCCCCUCCCCCGAGUGGGCUGUUGCAGAGGGCUCCCAUGCUUGAAGCUGAGACCCAGGAAUGAAGUUAUGCGCCAGGGUGGGCAGGGUGUUCAAAAACCCCGCAACCACAACAUGCAAGAGGUUAGCAUGUCAGGGACAGGUGCUGGGGGACCUGUGAGGGACCUGGCCCCUUCCCCACCAUCUGCUCUGAGGCACACAUGCAUCCACUGCUGGCAACGAGCCAGGCCAGGGCUCCACGCAUGCUGGUGGCUGCCUGCUGAACAUAGCCUGGGCUCUAGCCAGUAGCAGGGGCCUGCCCAGAGCCUGGGCUGGCUGUAGCAGGCCUGGCAAAAUGGCUUCACGUACCAGACCCAUGUUCUACACCUGUGAUAUUUUUAAAGAGGGUCAGGGGGAAGGACACUUGUUAGUAUAAUGACUUAACUUGCCUUUCAAAGAAUCCCAGGGCACAAACCUCAUCACACACAGAGAGAAUACAGUAAUACCCUAAGAGCUGUUGUAGAGGUGCAUAAACUAGAACAAUUUGAAAUACUGGAAGCAAGUAAGAAACCCACAAGUCAGUAUUAUAAAAAUAAGAGGCAUCAUUGGGACUCCAUUUGGAUGUAAGAAAUACUGUAAAUUACAGGGCUAGGUGCUAAGAUAAAAUAAUUUGAAAAAGUCUGACUAUCUUAUGUCAGUCAGAAAUAAGUUUUGGCCUACAAAUUUGUUAGUGCUGAUUUAAAUAUUUUUGUGGCUGACAAAAUGAUAACUUACAGCACAGACAAAUUUAGCAGUUGUAACAAUAGUCUAAAAUCAUUAUCUUUUAAGUCAAGUAGUAGUAGAAACGGGUAAGAAGUAAGACCACAGGUCAAGUAAGAAAAAGAUCUAACUAACAGUGAGGAUCUCACUUGGAAGGCAGGAUCAAGAAGAUCUCUGAUUAUAUUUCAAAGCAUCCAAUUGAAAACUAUGAAGAUAAAUUUUUAUACAACUCAUAAUUAACCUGUGGAACAUUCUACCACAAGAUUUCACAGCUAGUCAGAGCAUUAUAGUAUUCAACAUACACUGAUCAUGAAAUAUCCACUACGUUAAAUAAAGCGUGACUUAUGCUAUAAAGCAGCAGCUGACAACCUUUAACAAGCCACUGGCUGGAACAACCUAGCUCUGGUUUGACAUGAGGUGUGCCUGUGCAAAGGCCUAGCAGCUGGGAAUUGUACCCACACCACUGCCACUUCCCCAGCUCCCCAGCUGCAGUGUAGGUGCAGCUUCCAGCCUGUGGGAGCUACUUCCAGGCCAGGCAGCUGGAAGCUGCAUCCUCAUCGCUGCUGCUUCUCCCUAGCAUAGGCAUAGGCAAAGCCUUCUGGCUCCAUAGGCUUUAUGUUGCCAACCCCUACUCUGAAGAAUAACGAUUUAUACCUUCUGAAUUAUCUAAUGGUGAUUAAAAAGUACAGAACAACAGUGUGCAUACAGAUGCAUGUUAGAUUCAUUGUGAGCAUGCAGGUUAGAUUUGCUCUUAAGAAUCAGGCAGAAGUGGAUCUUUAUGAGGGACUGGGUAAGGGUGGGUUUUCUGAGUGAGCUCAAGGACACUGCUAUGCUGCACUAAAAGACUGAUGAAAACACCAGUAUCACACUAGUCCUGUUACUCUAGAACCUGGACCACUGGAAAUUUUAAGAAAUAUAUUAAAGUAGGCCAGUCCCUCAUGAUGGGCACUAGAAAGUAACUAACUUUACAUUCAGGUACCUUGCAUAUUUUUUAGGCAUCUAAUGUCCAUCACUGUUGGAAAUCGGAUGCCAGAUUAGACACGUCGCUGAUCUAAUCCUGUAUUUGAAAUCAUACAUUCCUACUUUCCACUUUAAACAUUAAUAUGUUCUUAAGUUUACAGGCUCUGGCUCUAAUAUUACAAAAUAGUUACCUGAGUUUUCUGUGGUGACAGAUUUAUUUUCCCAUCUUUUCCCCUUCUUUCUGCCCUCAUUUUUCAGCCCCACAUUUUUAAACUUUUAUGGUAAUCACUUCCUCUUUCUUUCUGCACCAAAAAGCUUUGUCCUGCUCUACACGGAGUAAAUUAAACCUUGUAUAACAAUCUAGGAUGCAACUUGUGCCAACUAGGCUAGUAACAUGCUUGUACAUGUAGUAUAGACAACACCUUUAGGUAUAAAGCAGACAGUUGUGCCUAUUUUGUGACAGGCAUCCAGGAUCACACAAUUUUGUUGAUUAACUAUAUAAUCAGCUGUCUUAUUCAGAUCAUGUUUGGGAAGGAAUAGGACUGAUAGCCCCUGGGCUGGGCUGAGCACCUUUUCAUUGCAGUCUGCCCUGUUCUCCUUUAAGCAGGCUAUGAAACAUCAUCCCAAUAUUUUAUAAGGCACAUUUAAAUUAGUUUCAGUUUUGGUGACUAUUAACAAAAUGUGUCAAAGAUACUCUCUGUUUUUGUACCUGUGAAUCAAACCAUGCAAUGUAUGUCAUGUGGACUAUUGAAUACACUGGGGGCUGUUCCACCUAACACUAGGCCUCAAAGGAAACAAUACAUUUUGGUCUAGUCUAUACUGUGGUAAAAAACCAUAACUAUCAUUAGCAAGCAACUACCUUGUAACUGGGCAGUGGAAUACACUUUUAAUGUUAGUUUAAACACAGACAAGGAGAAGGGAAAAAUAGGAGAAACAUUUCUUCUAGUAACAAUAUUGUUGCCUCCGUUAAUUGCCAUGGAAGAUAAAAAAUCGCAUUAACUGGCAUAUCAAUAUUACUAGAAGCAGUUGAUGGAUUUUGGCAAAUUCUAUUCCACCUUGGUAAACUCAAGCUGACAGCAUUUUUGGAAGAUACAGUUUCUCUUGCCUCCCGUAUACUGUUAUACUUGCCCCAAAAAUCUUCCAAGGAGAAAUGAGCAAGAUUCUGGAAAUCGGGAAAGAAAUGGAAAUUCAUAUGGAUAGCAGCUAAUGUUUGGAAAAGGCCAUUGUAUAAGGUUAAAAUUAGGCAAGGUGCUGGAAUAUAAAGUUAGAGAAAAGCAUUCAGUGACAAACCAGUCUAUACUCCUUAGGCUGGAUGACUGAUGGAGGGCGGAACUAGAAAAGUUACAGCUAACACUGAAAUGCCACCACUGAAAAUAAUAUCAUCCUACAGUAUGAUAAAAUAUUGAAGCAAAUUGCAGGAUGAUACAUUAGGGUAUGAGAGUUAUAAAAUGCUGAGAGUGAGGUUUUAUGUUUAUGCAUUGGUCUGGCAUAAGACAAAAAGUAAAAAAAAAAGUGAGAUUGUACAGGUCUUUCAGAACAACCAGAAAAAGCCUCACAUGCCCUGUUUCUAGAAGAAAAAGUGAUUGGCAAUGGACAACACUUCACAAGCUAUGACUUUUAAGAGUUUAGUAUAGAGUAUUACCUCAUACAUUAUUUCCAGUCUAUCUGUGAUACAUUUUUCUUGCCAUAGUAUCAGAGCACCUGAUGAGAUGGAAGACUACUAUUAUCUCUGCUUCGCAGAGUGGGAAUAGAGGCACAGAGAGGACAACUCACUUGACAAAAGACAAAAAAGUACCAUGAUGGAAUAGAGACUGGGAUCCCAGUUUCCUAGCUCCUAGAUCAAUACCAUAACCACUGGACUAUCAUUCCUAUCCCACUGUUUGCAAUAGAUGUGUGCACAGACUAAAUGCAGAAGUGCCUGCCAAGGAUUUUAUUAUGUUGUUAUUAAAUACCUGCUUAUAUAAUUUAAUGUCCAUCUGCAAAAAGUUAAUUUUGUUGGAUUUUUAGGCAUAAACCAAUGAAAAAAGUUUCCAUUUACCCUUGUUCAUAUUUAAAUCUACAUUAUAAUUCCAUUUGUUACAAAAACGUAGUAUUUACAGCAAGAUUAAUUGUCAUGUGUGGUAAUAUUUCACUUUUGAUACUCCUUGACCUAAAGAGUUUCUUCCACCUCUGCUUUGCUCCAUCUUAGUUACUUAUUUCUAUGUAAGCUUUACAUAUCUGCGUGUGCGUAAACUGAUAACUGUUGUCUGAAUGCCAAUCUGAGUUACAUGCAGCAAAGUAUGGACCAUUUCUCUUCAGCUUGUGACAAUUUUGGUCUCACAAUCAACACUAAGAAGACAGAGGUUAUCAGCCUGCACCAGUAAAGCCUUAUGUAGAGCCUACUGCCACAGUUAAUGGCCAGACCCUCCAGGCAGUGGACAAGUUCGCCUAUCUCGGCAGUCAUCUAUCACAUGCAGCUCACAUCAAUGAUGAAACCAACACCAGAAUUGUUAAAGCAAGUGCGGCCUUCAGCAUACUGCAUGCAAACGUGUGGGAGUUCAGAGGCAUCAUUCAACAAACAAAGCUGAAGGUCUACAAAGCCGUUGUAUUGCUAAUCCUGAUAUAUACGUGGGAAACCAGGACGGUCUACAGAUGCCAUGCUACAAUGCUGAACCACUUUCACAUGGGCUGUCUGAGGAAAUUGAUGAGGAUAAGAUGGCAAGGCAAAGUCCCAGACACUGAGGUUCUCGCACACUCAGGCAUGCCAAGCAUCUACACUCUGUUGAUGAAAUCACAGAUGAGAUGGGCAGGCCAUGUCACCAGGAUAUCAGAUGAGAGACUGCCAAAGAAGAUCUCUGGUGAGCUAAAGGAGGGAAAGUGCUCUCAGGGAGGCCAGAAGAAACAUUUCAAGGACUCCCUCAAGUCAGCCUUGAAACAUUCAACAUUGACCCAAAGUCUUGGCAAGAUCUAGUUUAUGAUCAUUCCACCUGGCAAAGCUUCAUCCAUACUGGAGCUACAGUCUAUGAGCUGAGGAGAACUGCUGAGGCAGAGCAGAAGUGCAAAACAGCAUAAAUCUCACAACAGCAGCACGUCCACUGUUGAUCAAGCAACCCAAAGAGGUAUCUCUUGCUCAGUGUAGCACAGACAGUUGAAAACACAAAUUGGCCUGAUCAACCACUUGUGCUCACAGAAACCAAACCAACCAGAGAUGGUCAGCUUUGAAUUCGAAGGACAAACAACAACAUGUAUAUGUAUGCAGUGUCAUUAAUAAAGAAUAGUUUUCACACAGAA
Long non-coding RNA from Alligator mississippiensis (American alligator), 5250 nucleotides. RefSeq lists it as uncharacterized. The record is from RefSeq and is a predicted model, not a curated record. The transcript is spliced from 2 exons. NCBI's taxonomy places the organism in Eukaryota, Metazoa, Chordata, Crocodylia, Alligatoridae.